RNAcentral lists this ribosomal RNA (425 nucleotides) under uncultured bacterium. RNAcentral describes it as "partial 16S ribosomal RNA". It matches the Rfam family "Bacterial small subunit ribosomal RNA", at positions 354 to 796 of the family's 1533-position model. The record is from RNAcentral.
GUGGGGAAUCUUGCGCAAUGGGCGAAAGCCUGACGCAGCCAUGCCGCGUGAAUGAUGAAGGUCUUAGGAUUGUAAAAUUCUUUCACCGGGGACGAUAAUGACGGUACCCGGAGAAGAAGCCCCGGCUAACUUCGUGCCAGCAGCCGCGGUAAUACGAAGGGGGCUAGCGUUGCUCGGAAUUACUGGGCGUAAAGGGCGCGUAGGCGGACAGUUUAGUCAGAGGUGAAAGCCCAGGGCUCAACCUUGGAAUUGCCUUUGAUACUGGCUGUCUUGAGUACGGGAGAGGUGAGUGGAACUCCGAGUGUAGAGGUGAAAUUCGUAGAUAUUCGGAAGAACACCAGUGUCGAAGGCGACUCACUGGCCCAAUACUGACGCUGAGGCGCGAAAGCGUGGGGAGCAAACAGGAUUAGAUACCCUGGUAGUCC